This 253-nucleotide ribosomal RNA is filed under the name uncultured bacterium. RNAcentral's name for it is "partial 16S ribosomal RNA". It matches the Rfam family "Bacterial small subunit ribosomal RNA", at positions 524 to 776 of the family's 1533-position model. The record is from RNAcentral.
UACGUAGGGGGCAAGCGUUGUCCGGAAUCAUUGGGCGUAAAGCGCGUGUAGGCGGUUCGGUAAGUCUGCUGUGAAAGUCCAGGGCUCAACCCUGGGAUGCCGGUGGAUACUGUCGGACUAGAGUACGGAAGAGGCGAGUGGAAUUCCCGGUGUAGCGGUGAAAUGCGCAGAUAUCGGGAGGAACACCAAUUGCGAAGGCAGCUCGCCGGGACGUCACUGACGCUGAGACGCGAAAGCGUGGGGAGCAAACAGG